ACGAACGCUGGCGGCGUGCUUAACACAUGCAAGUCGAACGGAAAGGCCCUGCUUUUGUGGGGUGCUCGAGUGGCGAACGGGUGAGUAACACGUGAGUAACCUGCCCUUGACUUUGGGAUAACUUCAGGAAACUGGGGCUAAUACCGGAUAGGAGCUCCUGCUGCAUGGUGGGGGUUGGAAAGUUUCGGCGGUUGGGGGUGGACUCGCGGCUUAUCAGCUUGUUGGUGGGGUAGUGGCUUACCAAGGCUUUGACGGGUAGCCGGCCUGAGAGGGUGACCGGCCACAUUGGGACUGAGAUACGGCCCAGACUCCUACGGGAGGCAGCAGUGGGGAAUAUUGCGCAAUGGGCGGAAGCCUGAUGCAGCAACGCCGCGUGCGGGAUGACGGCCUUCGGGUGGUAAACCGCUUUCGCCUGUGACGAAGCGUGAGUGACGGUAAUGGGUAAAGAAGCACCGGCUAACUACGU
This 466-nucleotide ribosomal RNA is filed under the name uncultured bacterium. RNAcentral describes it as "partial 16S ribosomal RNA". It matches the Rfam family "Bacterial small subunit ribosomal RNA", at positions 29 to 506 of the family's 1533-position model. The record is from RNAcentral.